Molecule: ribosomal RNA, 290 nt
Filed under: Escherichia coli
Lineage: Bacteria; Pseudomonadati; Pseudomonadota; Gammaproteobacteria; Enterobacterales; Enterobacteriaceae
Description: partial 16S rRNA
Rfam family: Bacterial small subunit ribosomal RNA
Source: RNAcentral
CGCUGGCGGCAGGCCUAACACAUGCAAGUCGAACGGUAACAGGAAUCAGCUUGCUGAUUCGCUGACGAGUGGCGGACGGGUGAGUAAUGUCUGGGAAACUGCCUGAUGGAGGGGGAUAACUACUGGAAACGGUAGCUAAUACCGCAUAACGUCGCAAGACCAAAGAGGGGGACCUUCGGGCCUCUUGCCAUCGGAUGUGCCCAGAUGGGAUUAGCUAGUAGGUGGGGUAACGGCUCACCUAGGCGACGAUCCCUAGCUGGUCUGAGCGGAUGACCAGCCACACUGGAACU